RNAcentral lists this ribosomal RNA (830 nucleotides) under Ascaltis reticulum. RNAcentral describes it as "eukaryotic LSU rRNA". Lineage: Eukaryota; Metazoa; Porifera; Calcarea; Clathrinida; Leucascidae. The record is from RNAcentral.
GUAGGUGAACUGCGGAAGGAUCAUUACCGAACCUUUGUGACUAACAAUCACAAAACCCAACACACCGUGCACUUGGUCGCGCGAGGCGCGCGCGCGCACUGUCCGUCGUGCUUCUCCUUUCGGGGUCGGUCUCACUGUUAAAUCGGCGCUUGCGCUGAGCCCCGCCUGGAGAGCGCCGGUCGGUUGCGUGUUGCGUGUUCUCGUGCGGUUGAUCACCGCGCACAAGGCAGUGCGCACUUCCCUUCUUUAACCAAGCAAAUUUGCAGACUGAACUGUUGGAAAGCGAAAGUUUGUCUCGCUUGAUCAAAUCAAAGGACAACUUUCAACGGUGGAUCUCUYGGCUCGUGSRUCGAUGAAGAACGCAGCAAAACGCGAUAUGUAGUGUGAAUUGCAGUAUUCAGUGAAUCAUCGAAUCUUUGAACGCAAAUGGCGCUCCUAGGUCAUCCUAGGAGCAUGUCUGUCUCAGUGUCGUUUUCACCUCGAGCGCGCUUCGGCGCGGUUGUCUUGAGGCGUCUGAGUGCCCUAACCCGGCUGCUCAGUCCCUUGAAAUUCAGUGGCCGGACUCACAGAGGUUCCAAGGGCUGGUUUGCCCCGGACCUGCUCGCACGGCUGAUUCAAGUUCGUGUCGCAGCAGCCGCGGUAGCACACCAAAUCCUGAGGAACGUGCUUGUCUGAACAAAGCCAUUUUCUGGAAAACUACUGGCACUGCUGCUCUCUCGGCGGCGGCGCUACCAUCUUCGACCUGAGAUCAGGCAAGACUACCCGCUGAAUUUAAGCAUAUUAAUAAGCGGAGGAAAAGAAACCAACAGGGAUUCCCCCAGUAACGGCGA